CAUUGGAUAGCUCAAGCGGAUAGAGCAUCGGAUCAAAAUUCCGAGUGUCGAAGGUUCGAAUCCUUCUCCACCCU
This 74-nucleotide transfer RNA is filed under the name Zavarzinia aquatilis. Its description in RNAcentral is "Zavarzinia sp. HR-AS tRNA-OTHER". It matches the Rfam family "tRNA". From Rfam's summary of the family: Transfer RNA (tRNA) molecules are approximately 80 nucleotides in length. Their secondary structure includes four short double-helical elements and three loops (D, anti-codon, and T loops). Further hydrogen bonds mediate the characteristic L-shaped molecular structure. tRNAs have two regions of fundamental functional importance: the anti-codon, which is responsible for specific mRNA codon recognition, and the 3' end, to which the tRNAs corresponding amino acid is attached (by aminoacyl-tRNA synthetases). tRNAs cope with the degeneracy of the genetic code in two manners: having more than one tRNA (with a specific anti-codon) for a particular amino acid; and 'wobble' base-pairing, i.e. permitting non-standard base-pairing at the 3rd anti-codon position. Lineage: Bacteria; Pseudomonadati; Pseudomonadota; Alphaproteobacteria; Rhodospirillales; Zavarziniaceae. The record is from RNAcentral.